AAUCAACAAAAAAUAUUCAGAUUAUCAGAUCAAAGAUUCGAGUCACUUUAGACUCGUUACUUUUAGACCAAUCAUGUGACUCCAAAUGGCGUUCGUCGUGCGAGGAAAAGUCAGCGUGGUCAUGCUAUCAUGUGACGCUGCCUACAUAAAACACACUGACUGUUGGGCCGUUGAAUGGGGGAGGACAGUUUCCACGUGCUCUUCGCUUCAUGGUGGUUGUCAAGGUCCCUGUAGUGCUUGUCUGCAACUUUUCAAAGGGCAAUCCAAACCUUGAGUGUCCGCAGUGCUCUGCCAUAGAGGUCAGCGCUUGUUUCCCUGGAAUCACACAUAAAGGCUUUCUUUAUUUACACCAGUAAAGAGCUCUAACAGCCAAACGUUUGACCUCAGUUGAACAGCUCCGGGUAAACAAGUCAUCGCAAAUGUCCCCUCCCUCAGUUCCAAACAGCUUGCAUCCCAUCAGCGCGCAUGUUUUGCCAGGACAGAUGACAGGAAAACAGUCUCAGCUCAUGUUCAUAAUAAGCCUCACUUGUGGAUUUCCAGAGGCCCAUGACUGAAGGUCGCAGCUCUAGUUUUUGAUCAGCGGAGGACCAGCGGAAAUUAUUAACAUGCUACUUCAUAAUAACAUAUCACAUAACAUUACAUAAAAAUCUGUUUUUCUGUAUUGUUUAAAUGUCGUAACAUAUGACAAUAAAUGGAAUUUUAAAAA
This 706-nucleotide long non-coding RNA is filed under the name Danio rerio (zebrafish). Its description in RNAcentral is "si:dkey-81p22.11 (ENSDARG00000093797.5)". Lineage: Eukaryota; Metazoa; Chordata; Actinopteri; Cypriniformes; Danionidae. The record is from RNAcentral.